GAUGAACGCUGGCGGCGUGCCUAAUACAUGCAAGUCGAACGAACGGACGAGAAGCUUGCUUCUCUGAUGUUAGCGGCGGACGGGUGAGUAACACGUGGAUAACCUCCCUAUAAGACUGGGAUAACUUCGGGAAACCGUAGCUAAUACCGGAUAAUCUUUUGAACCGCAUGGUUCAAAAGUGAAAGACGGUCUUGCUGUCACUUAUAGAUGGAUCCGCGCUGCAUUAGCUAGUUGGUAAGGUAACGGCUUACCAAGGCAACGAUGCAUAGCCGACCUGAGAGGGUGAUCGGCGACACUGGAACUGAGACACGGUCCAGAGUACUACGGGAGGCAGCAGUAGGGAAUCUUACGCAAUGGGGGGAAGCCUGACGGAGCAACGCGGAGUGAGUGAUGAAGGUCUUCGGAUCGUAAAACUCUGUUAUUAGGUAAGAACAGAUGUGUAAGUAAAUGUGCACAGCUUGACGGUACCUAAUCAGAAAGCCACGGCUAACUACGUG
This 497-nucleotide ribosomal RNA is filed under the name uncultured bacterium. RNAcentral's name for it is "partial 16S ribosomal RNA". It matches the Rfam family "Bacterial small subunit ribosomal RNA", at positions 28 to 507 of the family's 1533-position model. The record is from RNAcentral.